RNAcentral lists this ribosomal RNA (406 nucleotides) under Niphargus sphagnicolus. RNAcentral describes it as "partial 28S ribosomal RNA". Lineage: Eukaryota; Metazoa; Arthropoda; Malacostraca; Amphipoda; Niphargidae. The record is from RNAcentral.
UGAGUCGAUCCUAAGCCAACUGUGAAAGCAGUGACAUCCCAACAAAGGAGCAUUUCGUGCGCCGCACUUACACCCCCAAUGCAAAGCUCUCGUGUAUCUCUCUCUCGCACAUGCGCGCGCGCACACGCAAUGAUCACUUAAAAUAAAGUGAGUGUGUGCGCUUCUAUGGUUACGCUCACGAGCGUUGAGGAUCUGCUGUCUGGCUUAUAAAGAGAGAGAGAGAGAGAAAGAGAGUGGGUGAGCGUGAGUUAUUGCUAUUGCAUGGCUUCCUGCGUUGGUUCUAUGUCCGGCGAAAGGGAAUGGGGACUUUGUUCCUUGACCGGUCCCGGCACCCUCGAUUGGCUCUGCCAAUUAAUGGUCCAUGCAAAUGGAACCAGGCCACAGCCGCUGGCAGUCGCCCGAGGAA